Molecule: ribosomal RNA, 253 nt
Filed under: uncultured bacterium
Lineage: Bacteria
Description: partial 16S ribosomal RNA
Rfam family: Bacterial small subunit ribosomal RNA
Source: RNAcentral
UACGUAGGGGGCAAGCGUUGUCCGGAAUCAUUGGGCGUAAAGCGCGCGUAGGCGGCCCGGUAAGUCCGCUGUAAAAGUCCAGGGCUUAACCCUGGAAAGCCGGUGGAUACUGUCGGGCUCGAGUCCGGAAGAGGCGAGUGGAAUUCCUGGUGUAGCGGUGGAAUGCGCAGAUAUCAGGAGGAACACCGAUGGCGAAGGCGGCAACCUGGGCCAAUACUGACGCUGAGGUGCGAAAGCGUGGGGAGCGAACAGG